Molecule: ribosomal RNA, 397 nt
Filed under: uncultured bacterium
Lineage: Bacteria
Description: partial 16S ribosomal RNA
Rfam family: Bacterial small subunit ribosomal RNA
Source: RNAcentral
AUACGUAGGUGACAAGCGUUAUCCGGAUUUACUGGGCGUAAAGGGCGUGUAGGCGGUCUUGCAAGUCAGAAGUGAAAUUCCUGAGCUCAACUCGGGCGCUGCUUCUGAAACUGCAGGACUUGAGUGCUGGAGGGGAUAGCGGAAUUCCUAGUGGAGCGGUAAAAUGCGCAGAUAUUAGGAAGAACACCGGUGGCGAAGGCGGCUAUCUGGCCAGUAACUGACGCUGAGGCGCUAAAGCGUGGGGAGCAAACGGGAUUAGAUCCCCCGAUAGUCCUGGCCGUAAACGAUGGGUUCUAGGUGUGGGAGUUAUCGACUCCUUCCGUGCCGGAGUUAACGCAAUAAGUACCCCGCCUGGGGAGUACGGCCGCAAGGCUUAAACUUAAAGGAAUUGACGGGG